Molecule: non-coding RNA, 1308 nt
Organism: Podarcis muralis (Common wall lizard)
Lineage: Eukaryota; Metazoa; Chordata; Lepidosauria; Squamata; Lacertidae
Source: RefSeq, a predicted model, not a curated record
CUUGUGACUGCGGCGAGGGGGUGGCGCAGGCUACAGAACAAUAGGCUGGUGUUGGAAGUGGGGGGAAGGGGGGAAAAGGGGCGCAUAACAAUGUGUGUGGCACCCACCCCUAAACUUCGCACCCCUCGAUGCCCGAUUGCAAAACUGCGCGUUUGCAAUUGCACCCGGGUGCAAAGCCUGCAGAGUUCAGCGGGACAUCGCUCCCAAGUAAGCCCGAGGUGCAUGCAUGCAUCUUAGCGCUGCGUGCAAGCAGAAGGUCCCACGGACGCGUUUACCUGGAAAUCAAGCCCCCAGUUGUGUGUGACAGAAAGAGAAAGCCGUGUAAAUAACUCCCCUAGGGAUGGGAAAGGCUUACGGCUGCCAGUCAGUGUAGGCAGCACUAAGCUCGAUGGAGCAAUAGUGUGUCUCAGUAUAAGGCAGCUUCCAAACUGGGGAGAGGGGGGUUGCUUCUGAGUAAACCGCCCUUCAACGUGCUUGGGAUUCUAAGAGUGGGGAAGGCAAGCGAUGGAUCCGUCGCUGGGCGCCCAUAUCACGUAGCGAGCAGGCUCCGCUGCAAACCAGUAGGGACUGUCCUCCUUAUAACGCGCUUUAGGAUGGACGAGGAAAGGAUCGGCGCAAGCCUACUGAAAAGCCCGUCCUAUUGUAUUCAAGUGCGGCUUACACCCAGAGGAAAACCAGCAGAUUGUAACCUUCAGGAAGGUCGUUCUUCAAACAUAGCGGCAGUCGAUGCUAUCUGACGGAGCGGGCUCUGGCCCACGGAAGAUGGCAAGGAGAGACGUCCUUCCUUGUUGGUGUUGGCACUGUUUUGAAGCGAAUUGGACAACGUUGGGUUUGGGGGAUAGCUAUGACCCUAGGUUUGAGUAGCAAUUGCUCAGUUUGUGGGGCACAGCAAAACCUGGGGGUUUCACUAAAAAAAUACUACAAAACAGCUGCAACAGUUUGGCACCAGUUUGGAGGGGGUCCCAAAUUUUGGGGUUCGUUAAUGUUAAGUACGAACCCCGUUUUUGAUGUAUCAGUUGCUCAGUUUGUGGGGUGCUGCAAAAUGUGGGGUUUUCGCUGCAAAACAACCUGCAAAACUUGUGACGCAGGUUUGGAGAGGAUCCCAAAUUUGGGGGUUCGUAGUUAAUUUUCCUGCGGAUAAGCCACCUUUGGAUUUGGUCUCCCUCUUAGAAUUGCAGCCUUGGUUGUUUAUCCGCUAAAUUGGUUGGCUAUUUGACCUUUUGUUGAACUUUGCCCUGAUAUCAGUAUUAGUGAAGGCUGGGUUAUCAAUCUUUUAAAUGAGUAAAUAAAGAUUGAUUAAAAGAUUUA